Molecule: long non-coding RNA, 8357 nt
Organism: Balaenoptera acutorostrata (minke whale)
Lineage: Eukaryota; Metazoa; Chordata; Mammalia; Artiodactyla; Balaenopteridae
Exons: 8
Source: RefSeq, a predicted model, not a curated record
GGGCGGAGCGCGCGGCCCGCUCCCUCUCUCCUCCCCCGGGAGGCGGAGGAGACCCUAUCUCGGGCCGCCGCGCCUAGGCCCGUGAACAGCCUGCGGCAGGGGCAUGGCGGCCCCGAGCAGCGGCGUGCCUGCGAGUGCUUUCUGUAGCGGCGCUGAACCGGAACACCCCAGACGCUUUCUCUCGGUGAGAGGGUGAGCUGGUAGUCAGCCCAUUUCUCACACGCGGAAACUGAGGCCUGCGGAGAGGCGGCCCCGGACAGAGAUGAGGAAAGUCAGGAAGAUGCGAAUGAGGCUCAGAAAGUUUUGUGCUGAGAUUUGAAGAAGGAGAAGAAAAAGAAGGCGGAAUGCUUACCCUGGGAGGGGAACGGCAGCGACAGAGCAAGUCUCAGGAAGGGCCUGGUGUGUGUGAGAGCAGGUGCACAAGUCAUCACCGGAAAACCUUUGGGAUACAGUAUACGAAGUGAGGAGCUGCCAGUGCUGGAAGGACGGGUCCCAGAAGGAGCUCGGAGGAUCCAGAGGAAUGACCAAGUUACCUGCCGAGUCAGGGCCUUGUGGACGUUCGCGAGGAGGCACCACUACCAUUUCUGCGAGGAACUCUAGCUGGAAAAUGCAAGCUCUCAGCAGAGGAAAUGCAAUCUUCCCUUCUCUGGGCUAGAAGGGUGGUCGUGGUAGGCUGGGGGGAAUGAUGGCAUGGUCUCUCUCUGCAGAUCUGUUUUCUGAGUCCCUGAGCUGCAGCUGUUGAGUUUCCAGACACAAACAAGUACGUAUUCUGUGAGCCUCGCUGAGCCCACACAGCAAGGAAGAGCCAAGCUGGAUUCCAUUCUGCUUUGCACAUCAGCAGCCCUGCUGCCAGCUGAACUCCAGGGCAAACUCUGUGCCUGGUAAUGAUGCAGGCUCUAGGUAUAGCACAGCCGGACUGGUGUGGGUGGUUAAUGGGGACACGCCUGGCCUUGAUUAUUUGGGGGAGAGUGAGAAAUGGAAGGAGAUGAAGGGUUGCAGGAGCAUACAAUCAAUCUCAGUAGAGCUGGUUCACAGCAAGGACAGAUCUGGCUUUCCUGGUCGUCAUCAACAUGCCGGUGUGUGUGACUGUUUAUGCUUAGGUAAGCCCGGCCUCCCACUCACUAAAAGCCGGCGGUCAGGGAAAAGUGGUCAGCGGCCACCGUGUCCACGGCCACCGUGCAGAGUGUGCACCACACAAAGACGACCAGCUGAGGGCACGAACGUCAUUUCUUGAUGUUGUCUGUUCCUUUUCGCCCACUAUGACCAAGGACUGAGCUCCCUCUACACCAGACCAUAUGGAAGUCGAGCUGGGGGCUUUGUCUGACCAGGAAGAGAUGAGGUGACGUGGAGGGAAGAUGGGAUUUGGGAGGCUCUCAGGCAGGUUUCAGGUGGCUAGUGGGGAAGGUCAGGCUAUGUAAAAGGGCUGAUUGGGACAGUUGCAAUUUGCCUGGGGCAAAAGAGUUGUGAGCUGGGAAUGACAUUUGGCGUGGAGAGAAGGAGCUGAGGUCACUGGGAUGAUGUUACUUAGAAACAGGUGCGGCAUUCCUCAGAUGCUAGGAGAAUCUUGUAUCUCUGCCUGGUCAGUAUGUAAAUGUGAGGAUGAGGACAUAUGCAGAGUGGAGUGGCACAGGCUUUCUCGAGAAUAACGUUUUGUUACCUCAGAGCUGGAAGUUUCCACUAGAGCAGUGGUUCUCAAAGUGCGGUCCCCAAACUAGCAGCCUCCAUGUCACCUGGCAACUUGUUAGAAAUGUGGAUUCUCAGGCCCCUAACCCGCUGAAUCGGAAACUCUGGGGUGGGGCGCAGCCAUCUGUGUUUCAAGCAGCCCUUUAGAUGACCCUAAUGCCCACUAAAGUUUGAGAACCGCUGGUCUAGAUUAUGCAGAUAAAGACUUGCCUGAAUGACCUGGAUUCAGCAGACGUGAGAACUCGGGGGAGGCCUCAGAGGUGCAGGCAAGGUGCCCGCUUCCCUGGCUGUGCUCAAGGUGAGCCGACCUGGUUUUAGCCUCUGUCCUUGGGCCCUGGGUCCCCUGCCCUUUCCAAACAAAUACCGAACCAGAUCAGACCACUCCAUUGGCGCAAGAUCACACUUUAGUUCAGAGACACAUUUGUAUAAAUACUUGAAAUGGAUCCACCCCUGCAGGUGGGAGCCUGAGAACACGGGGCUCUCCACAAUCCUGCGACUCGCAGCCCUCCAGGCGAUGGGUUUAAUACUGAAGACACUCCUGGUCAUUUCUGAAGACAGUUUGGGGUGCAGCUACAGUGCUUGCUUUGACACUCACCAUCCACCCCUACUCCACAUCUCUCUUUGACUAAUUUUUUCCCCUCUGAGGUAGAUUAUUUAACGAGGGAACCAAGUAGAAAAAACUUUUUUCAUUUAACUUUGUUAGUCCUUUGCAAACAGGCUGACCAAGUCUUCCUUUUGGGUCCGUAAGAGCACUCUUUACCUUUUAACCUAUGCCCUCUACUUGAACCCAAGCAAGGUCCAGCCCACUAGAUAGUAGACUUUAGCAUCUGUGGUCUGUCUCCUCUCCUCUCCUCCCCCCAUGGAUUCAUGCCCAGCUGCAGCAGCGGGGGGCCUGGGUAGGCAGGCCACGCCACCCCCAGACGUGGGGUCACCGUAGCGUGACCCUGGUCUGCACCCCGCGCCCCGAGUCCACGAGCAUAAGCCCGGCCCGCCCGCUGGGUCACGGGGCGCACGGCUGGCUUCCGCACGGCUUGCCAUCCUCCGGCUUCAGAGCCUCGUCGCAGGUGGUGGAGGCCUGGCCUCUGGGGUCGCGGCACUCCACCGCCCGCCGCUGCCAGCCGUCCCCGCAGCUGCUGGAGCACUCAGACCAGUCUCCCAGGACCCACUGCGCGUUGAGCAGGGGCUGGAUGACGUUGGUCGUCGCUCUCUCUUUGCUGCUCUGUAUGCUGAAGUUCACGUCAUUAGGGACAAAGAAGGUGUAUUUGACUUUGGGGGGAAAGACCUCCCCAGGGACUGUCAGGAGUUGCACGGUCAGGGGCUCAGGCAGGGGCCAGAAGCUCUGCAGCCGCUCCAGGGAGGUGAUGGAACCGCUGUACUUGAGGAUGGUGCCCUUCACCAGGAUGUCCUGUUCCACGGCGGAGAUGGCCAGGUUUCCGUUGAGCAGGUACUGCCCGUCGGCGGUCUUCAAGGCCAGGUAGUUGCCGUCGUUCUGGACCCCUGGGUGGCUCCGCUGUUUCACGUCAAUGUUAGUGGCGCCAGCUGGGAUGGUGACGAUGUCACUGUAGCCAUAACUAUGACAGGAAGACACCUUUAGGACCCGUGGCUCCCCAGCCCGGUACUCAGGAAGUCAGCAUGCGGGGACUGGGGGUGGGCAGACAAAAGUUUGCUAGCGAAUAAGGAAGUAGUCGCCCCAAAGUGCCCAGUAAAUUAGCUGCUGAGGCGGACAGGAACACUUGGUACACCGGGACUUUUGCUUGGCCUGGGAGCUCUAUUUCAAAUGUUUGGAGUUUCGAUCUCGACAAUAGCACAGAGGGGAAGGCAGCCUAGAGGGGGUGAAUGCUGUGCCGUUGCUGCCAAACCUGGGCUCUUGGCUGAAAAGAGAUCUCAGGCACACGCAGCUCCUUGCACUGGUGUAAACUUUGCUUGGCCACUUUCAUCCCAGAGCUCACACCCACGUUGGAAAGAUCUGAUCCACACACCGAUUCCAGAAGCUGACCAGGUGGACGCGUCACGCCACCUCCUAGGGUCCAUCAGUUCCUGGUAUUUGGUUAUCGUGGCUCUAGGGCAGGAAGCAGGCAACACAGCCUGCUCCGAGGGGCCUUCUUCUGGGCGUGCCCAGCACCACGAGCGGGGCUGCCCGGGGUGCUGGGAUGCUGUUUGGGGAAAAUGUUCCAACUUUAUUGUGGGUCUGGGGCUUUAUGUGGGAUGGAGAAACCUUAAUUCUUACUCUUGUCUUUUGGGGUAGAAGUAUUUGGCUUCGCAGGCUGGGAGGGAGGCGGAGAGGACUGAGGACGGCAGCCACUCUGCUCCUGGCUGUCCUUGCCUCGCGCCCACUGGGCGGCUGGGAAAGGACCCUGGGCCCCAUGUCUGAUGCCUGAGAGAGCUCUGUGAAGGGACCCAACGUCUGACUGUCCCACACCCCGUGCUUCUUUUUUCUAUAUCCUUUGAGUUUAAAUUUGAAAAGACUCCUGAGUUGUCUGCCAUAGGCAGAUUCUGUUUUCUGAGGCUGAUGAGAGGAGAGAGAGCGAGGGAACCAGCUAGGGGUGUAGUGCGGCCGCAGGCGCUAGCCCUUCCUCCCCGGGAAGUGUGUGUGGGACAGGGAAAACCCGCCCGGGAAUGGGUAAACCUAGGCUCACCUCUGGCCGCCGUGACCUACCACUGUGACCCUAGAAGAGUCAUGUAGUCUCUUUGUGCCUAUGCUUCCUCAUCUGUAAAAGGGGAGUAACGGUCUUGGCCCCAAUAGACUUAUCUGAGGAAUCCGUCGAGCCCACAGAAGUGAAAGCACUUGAACAGAUAUAGGAGCUUUAUGAACGUGUGGCUUUAAGGUGGAAGAAAGCGUCUGGAGUUCUCAGAUUCAUGAGGCCCUGAGGCUGCCAAGACCCCCCUGUGGGCCCCCGUUUCUGAAGAUCCACCUGCAGAAAGGGCAGAGCCCGCCAGAUUAGGGUGAAAUGUCCUUCCCACAGCAGGCCUGGAAGAGCUGCUUUCUGGCAAAAGUCCCGGUUACUCAGUGUAGCUCUACUGCCAGUUGACUCAGAGAAGAUACAUCCCUAUCCGUGUGGCCUCUGGCUGCCCUGAGAGCCGUCAUCUCUGCGGGCCGGACCCUGGGCCAAGUGCUCUGCCCAUCUCGUGCCUCCUCACAGCGACUCUGAGAUGGAGAGGACACCGAGUUUUAUGAAGGAACUGAAGUUCAGUGCUCCGCGGGGAUGGGAGUCGCAGCCACAACUCAAACUUAGGCCCCCGUGACUCCAAAGCCCGGUCCGCUCGCGCAGCUAGGGACAGAACUUCCGGGGAGACCCACCUGGAGGGGUUGAGGGAACCGGACACCUUCCUGCACGAGUUGCCUUUGCCGCCGCACACGCCGCAUUUGUCCAGCUUCCUAGGCGAGUCCACCACGUGGUCACAGCCAGCCUUGACACACUGGCCACGGACACAGAUGGCCAGAGUCUCGGGCCCGCACGGAGUGCCGUCGAUCACCUGCAGCGGGGAAGCGGGGGUGGGGGGGGGGCGGUCAGAGGGCCCAGUGAGCACUGACGCCGCCCACUCUUGGGCUCAGGCCAGGGGGCCCUCCUCCCCACCUGUGCACCUGAGUUCCAGAAGGAUCCUCACCUUGGCUUCGAACACUUUGAACUCACUCCGCCCCCGGGCUCGGCAAAAGAGCUUGCAGCGGUCCCGGGGGGACACCCCUGCGUACUUGGGGACCCACUGCAGCAGGUUCCCCUCCAUGUCCGUGUAAUUGUAGGCAUUGUACUUCUCACACUGCUGCUCCCUGAAGCUCUUCCCUAAAAUGAGGGCGAGAGGGCAUGGAGUUAACAGGCUGAGCUGAAGCAGGCAGGACCCCACGGGAGAAAUGCCGAGAUUCCGGGCACCCUUCUUCCUCCCGGACUUGACCCAACCUGAGGACACAGGUCCAGUGUCACCUGGGCCUGACUUCCCUGGACACCGACCUAAGCCCUGACUCACGGGGCAAGGAAAGGAGCAGCCAGCCUCAGCUGGGCUUUCUGGGGAAAACAGUCUUCCCGUUUGGGGAGAAUAUUAAUUCUGCUUUACAGAUGAACAAAUUUAGGUGGGGACAGGGGAAGCACGGAAUGACACGUGGAGUUAUGUUCUUGGGCCUCUGCGGAUCGUGAUUUAUCUUGACCUCCUUGGACAUGUGGCCAAAGGCUCCCAGAUGUACAUCUCUAGUUCUGACCUUGCCUCUACACCCCACUUGCUAUAAUUCUGGGUCUCUCUGGGGGAGCUCCAUUUGUAGAUGCAGCCAUUACCUCCAGCUCAGCGAGGCCCAACUCCAUAUGGUUUCUCCAUAUGAAGAACUGGCUGGAUUUUCAUUUGGUGAUGCUACCGCAUUCCAGCCUGAGACUGGAACCCUGGUAUCUUCUGAAUAUUUGCGCAUCUACAUCCACUAUUCCCAACCUGUCAUUAAGUCCUGUACUCUACUCAGGACGAUCUGUGAUUUUAAAUGUCUCCUUCCCACUGUCAGCAUCUUGGUCCACUGCUCACAAGCCAAGGCCUGUGGUUUCCUGCGAGACUUGGUGCCCAGCCUCCGACACACAGCCUGCUUCCUCUCCCGUCCUGCUGCACGCUGCCUCCAGAACAAUCUGUCUGAAGUAAGACCUGGGCUUUUCCCUUCCACAAUCCUGAAGUUAAACCCGCUCUUACUACUGAGGUUCUCCACGCCAGCUGUACAUCUGCCUGGUCUGUGGAGCUUCAAAUCCCGGGUGGCCGUGCACUCCUCCUGAGACUCUGAGUCAGGACACCUGAGGCGUCUGGGCCUCUGUGUUUGGAAAAGCUUCCCAGGUGACCUGAUGGGACAGCCAGCACAGAGAGCCUCCUGAGGCUAUUUUAGCUUUUACGCACCCUUGGCUGGCCUGGAAACGCUGGCCCACCCUGCUCAGCUGUGUCCUGGGGGGAUCAUAGCCCCCAUCGCAGCGCGUCCUCCUGCACCUCAUCUCUGUCUCAGCCCUCCAGGCCCUGCUCAGCCCUGACUCCCCAAGAAGCUUCCGACCAGGCCAGGCCUCUCCUCGCUCUGGAUUCCUUGUCAGUCUGGGGUCUGUGCCUCACAGAUUGACCUUUAAUUGCUCUGUAAAAGGGGUUUGGAUCUCUAACAAGAUCUGCAUGUUCUCUGAGUACAGAGAACAUGCUUCUUAUGUCAUUAUAACACCUAUUCCAGUUCUGCCCACACAAGAGGCACCAAAACACUCACUGACUGAGAUGGCUGGUCCCGGUGCACCUGAAAUCAUGGUAUCACCUACGGUCCGUGUCUACCGCAUGCCUAUAUCCAUUCCCCUCCCCCUUCUCUCUCUCUCAUUCCCCCGGGAACGCUUCACGCGUGUGCCAGGCAGACUCGCACAGCUCCAGAGCUUCGUGCCGUUACUGAUCCUCCUCAUCUUGCAAAACUGCAAAGCCUCCAGAUUCCCUCAUUAGACACCAUUCCAAUGCCAGUGCGCCUCUGCGCUUGGAUGCGUCUCUCUGCUUGUCGUUUGCAGCCUGCCAAUACUUCCUGGGGCUGCACAAGGGGAGCUGGAUGGGAUGGUGGGGAAAAGACCUGCAAUGAUUUGCUCUCACGUCGCCUGCUGCCCCUGAGUUAAUGUGUGGGCUUUCUAGCAGGCACUGGGGAGGACGUCCCCAGGAGAGGCAGAGGUGGGGCUGCUUCCCAAGAAGGGGCCGCCAGGCAGCUACCACGCUCCGAGAGGAGAUGGGCGACUCUUCUCAGGGGGAAUGCGCGCUAGGGUCAGAUGCAGAAAUCUUCCCUCCGCCCUGAGCUGGAUGUUGGCUGGAAAGAUAUUGGAGGUUUGGCUCUGACCCUGGCUUUGGAAAACGCCUCCAUUCUGCAUACAGACGAGGGUUCAGACGUUAUCCUAGACGCUCGCCCCUCUGCAAAGCCCUCCCCCAGCUCUAAUGAAUAAGUUUGGUUGGGAGUGACGCCCUCCAUCUCCACAUGUUGGAAGACCAGGGCAGUGUCUCUCCUUGACUUUGCCAGGCUCUCCCCGGACAGGGAGAGCUGUCCUGGGUCGCCAUGGGCUGCUCUAAACCAUUUAUGUCUGCACCCAGGAAAGCUCUGCGCCCGGGAGAGCCCCGCACUCCUCUGGGGAUCUGCUGCAGGCAACACAGCAGCUGCUCUGGCCGGUGUGGCGAUUACCAUCAGGGGGGCACUCCUCCGUGUGACACGACUGGUACUUGGCUCUCCGACCCAGGCAGUAUCUCCCUCCGUUCCGAGGCUCGGGGUCCUCGCACUCGCGGUGUGAAAACUGUACUCCUCCUCCGCAGGUCCGUGAACAUUCUCCCCAGGGUCCCCACGGGGACCAGCCUCCAUCCACCACGGCCUGCAACACACAAGGCUGCGCUGAGUGGGGAGCAGAGGGCAGGAGGCCUCCUCACCUAGUUGCGCCCGUCCUGGGCCCGCGACUGCUCUUGCGCUGGAGUGUUCCACACCUAGCACCAAGCCUCACAGGCCUUCAAGUCAGCUCCGCGGCAGCCCCAAAGGCAGAGUCCCCUGAGUGCCCGGAGCCCUGCCGACAUCAGCCAUCGGCUCUGAGUACGGUCUUGAGCAGCUCCCCUCGACUCUGGAUAAAUAUGCUUUGCUUUGUCCAAAGAAUCAAGAACCAGUUGUGUGGGGCUUCCCUGGUGGCGCAGUGGUUGAGAAUCUGCCUGCCGAUGCAGGGGACACGGGUUCGAGC